GUGCCAGCCGCCGCGGUAAUACAGAGGUCCCAAGCGUUGUUCGGAUUCACUGGGCGUAAAGGGUGCGUAGGCGGUCGGGUAAGUUUGAUGUGAAAUCUCUGGGCUUAACCCAGAAAUGGCAUUGAAUACUAUUCGGCUAGAGAGUCGGAGGGGGGACUGGAAUACUUGGUGUAGCAGUGAAAUGCGUAGAUAUCAAGUGGAACACCAGUGGCGAAGGCGAGUCCCUGGACGAUUUCUGACGCUGAGGCACGAAAGCUAGGGGAGCAAACAGGAUUAGAUACCCCCGUAGUCC
Molecule: ribosomal RNA, 292 nt
Filed under: uncultured bacterium
Lineage: Bacteria
Description: partial 16S ribosomal RNA
Rfam family: Bacterial small subunit ribosomal RNA
Source: RNAcentral